This 501-nucleotide ribosomal RNA is filed under the name uncultured Agaricales. RNAcentral's name for it is "eukaryotic LSU rRNA". The stretch from base 1 to 146 matches the Rfam family "5.8S ribosomal RNA". Lineage: Eukaryota; Fungi; Basidiomycota; Agaricomycetes; Agaricales. The record is from RNAcentral.
GCAACGGAUCUCUUGGCUCUCGCAUCGAUGAAGAACGCAGCGAAAUGCGAUAAGUAAUGUGAAUUGCAGAAUUCAGUGAAUCAUCGAAUCUUUGAACGCACCUUGCGCCUCUUGGUAUUCCGAGAGGCAUGCCUGUUUGAGUGUCAUUAAAUUCUCAACUUCAAAAGCUUUUGUCUUUUUGAAGCUUGGAUGGUGAAGGCUUGCUGGCGUUUUAAAUGUCUCAGCUCCUUUGAAAAGUAUUAGUGGACCCGUUUGUGUUCAUUCCUUAGUGUGAUAAUUAUCUACGCUGUGGUCUUUGAAUGCAUAUGCGCUCAUUAGAAUCUUUCGAGCUGUUGUUUUUACUACAGUCUCGGUGUGGAGAGUUGCAUGAAUUUGCUCUUUCUGUCUCUUGAGUCAGGAUUGUCUGCUUCAAACCGUCUACACAUUGUAGACAAUUUUGAACCAUUUGACCUCAAUCAGGUAGGACUACCCGCUGAACUUAAGCAUAUCAUAAGCGGAGGA